RNAcentral lists this ribosomal RNA (226 nucleotides) under uncultured bacterium. RNAcentral describes it as "partial 16S ribosomal RNA". It matches the Rfam family "Bacterial small subunit ribosomal RNA", at positions 539 to 763 of the family's 1533-position model. The record is from RNAcentral.
CGUUGUCCGGAAUUAUUUGGCGUAAAGAGCUCGUAGGCGGUGUGUCGCGUCGGCCGUGAAAACCUGGGGCUCAACUCUGGGCUUGCGGUCGAUACGGGCAUCACUUGAGUUCGGCAGGGGAGACUGGAAUUCCUGGUGUAGCGGUGAAAUGCGCAGAUAUCAGGAGGAACACCAGUGGCGAGGGCGGGUCUCUGGGCCGAUACUGACGCUGAGGAGCGAAAGCGUG